CCUACGGGAGGCAGCAGUGGGGAAUAUUGGACAAUGGGCGCAAGCCUGAUCCAGCCAUGCCGCGUGAGUGAAGAAGGCCUUAGGGUUGUAAAACUCUUUCGCCGGUGAAGAUAAUGACGGUAACCGGUAAAGAAGACCCGGCUAACUCCGUGCCAGCAGCCGCGGUAAU
This 169-nucleotide ribosomal RNA is filed under the name uncultured bacterium. RNAcentral describes it as "partial 16S ribosomal RNA". It matches the Rfam family "Bacterial small subunit ribosomal RNA", at positions 338 to 524 of the family's 1533-position model. The record is from RNAcentral.